RNAcentral lists this ribosomal RNA (468 nucleotides) under uncultured bacterium. RNAcentral's name for it is "partial 16S ribosomal RNA". It matches the Rfam family "Bacterial small subunit ribosomal RNA", at positions 28 to 507 of the family's 1533-position model. The record is from RNAcentral.
GACGAACGCUGGCGUCGUGCUUAACACAUGCCAGUCGAACGGAAAGGCCCUGCUUUUGUGGGGUGCUCGAGUGGCGAACGGGUGAGUAACACGUGAGUAACCUGCCCUUGACUUUGGGAUAACUUCAGGAAACUGGGGCUAAUACCGGAUAGGAGCUCCUGCUGCAUGGUGGGGGUUGGAAAGUUUCGGCGGUUGGGGAUGGACUCGCGGCUUAUCAGCUUGUUGGUGGGGUAGUGGCUUACCAAGGCUUUGACGGGUAGCCGGCCUGAGAGGGUGACCGGCCACAUUGGGACUGAGAUACGGCCCAGACUCCUACGGGAGGCAGCAGUGGGGAAUAUUGCACAAUGGGCGGAAGCCUGAUGCAGCAACGCCGCGUGCGGGAUGACGGCCUUCGGGUUGUAAACCGCUUUCGCCUGUGACGAAGCGUGAGUGACGGUAAUGGGUAAAGAAGCACCGGCUAACUACGUG